RNAcentral lists this long non-coding RNA (211 nucleotides) under Prunus persica (peach). RNAcentral's name for it is "long non-coding RNA (PPER_LNC007991)". Lineage: Eukaryota; Viridiplantae; Streptophyta; Magnoliopsida; Rosales; Rosaceae. The record is from RNAcentral.
UUGAUGUAUUGUAGGCUAUUAGCGAUUGAAUUUCACUCAAAACUCACCAAAUAACUCCUCCCACCAUAUUUUAAUGUUGCCCAAGUUUUGGGUACAAUACGAUAUCGAUUGGUCAAACCAAUUGGACAAUUCAAGUUCGUACGAAGUUCGUUCCGUAAAUGGCGUGUUUAGUGUAUCGUGUAGUUUUAGCAGUUGAAUUUCACUCAAAAAG